GAUGAACGCUGGCGGCGUGCUUAAUACAUGCAAGUCGAACGGAGGAUGUAGCGAUAUAUCCUCAGUGGCGAACGGGUGAGUAACGCGUUGGUGACCUGCCCCGAAGAGAGGGAUAACAGUUCGAAAGGACUGCUAAUACCGCAUGAGGUCGUUGAGGCUAGAGGCUCGAUGACGAAAGGAGAAAUCCGCUUUGGGAGGGGCCUGCGUCCCAUCAGCUAGUUGGUAAGGUAAAGGCUUACCAAGGCGAAGACGGGUAGGGGGCCUGAGAGGGUGACCCCCACACUGGCGACUGAACAACGGCCGACGACACCUACCGGGUGGGCAG
This 325-nucleotide ribosomal RNA is filed under the name uncultured Chloroflexota bacterium. RNAcentral's name for it is "bacterial SSU rRNA". It matches the Rfam family "Bacterial small subunit ribosomal RNA", at positions 28 to 354 of the family's 1533-position model. The record is from RNAcentral. Lineage: Bacteria; Bacillati; Chloroflexota.